GAUGAACGCUGGCGGCGUGCCUAAUACAUGCAAGUCGAGCGAACAGACGAGGAGCUUGCUCCUCUGACGUUAGCGGCGGACGGGUGAGUAACACGUGGAUAACCUACCUAUAAGACUGGGAUAACUUCGGGAAACCGGAGCUAAUACCGGAUAAUAUAUUGAACCGCAUGGUUCAAUAGUGAAAGACGGUUUUGCUGUCACUUAUAGAUGGAUCCGCGCCGCAUUAGCUAGUUGGUAAGGUAACGGCUUACCAAGGCAACGAUGCGUAGCCGACCUGAGAGGGUGAUCGGCCACACUGGAACUGAGACACGGUCCAGACUCCUACGGGAGGCAGCAGUAGGGAAUCUUCCGCAAUGGGCGAAAGCUUGACGGAGCAACGCCGCGUGAGUGAUGAAGGUCUUCGGAUCGUAAAACUCUGUUAUUAGGGAAGAACAAAUGUGUAAGUAACUAUGCACGACUUGACGGUACCUAAUCAGAAAGCCACGGCUAACUACGUG
Molecule: ribosomal RNA, 497 nt
Filed under: uncultured bacterium
Lineage: Bacteria
Description: partial 16S ribosomal RNA
Rfam family: Bacterial small subunit ribosomal RNA
Source: RNAcentral